UUCCCAAUUUUAUCACUUUUUCUUCCCAUCCUGCCCCUCUCUCCCUCGACUGAUACUCAUUCACACCACAGCCACUGAAUGCAACUGAAAGCCAUUAAGACGCCAAUGAUAAGUCGGAGGAAGCCAAAGGUCGGACGGAACAUUAAUACAAUUGAUUGUUGUCUCCUUUUGACGCACACCAUUUAUUUUCCUCUCUUGUCUCUUUGGUACAACAUUCAUCAGAGCAUUCUUCUCAAAUUUCUUAAAUCAAGGAAGCAAAACGAAGAAGAAAAUCAAGCGUGAAAAUGGUUUGGCUUCUAGGUCUCCUGAAGAGUUGAUUCCAGAGGUUGAUCAUGAUGAUGGAUUCUAACCGAAGCAGACGACGUUACCAGUAGCACCUAGGGUUCUAGCAGAACUCCGGCAAGUUGGAUCCGUCGUGCAUGUCCCAUUUUGGUGUAGAUCGAUCGUCAAACACCGAGGUUCUCUGUAACACCAAGGUUCUCUGUAACCCUAAUCUAAAAAAACUUUGUUUUUCGUUUAAUUUGUAUACGAACCCUCAACUAUUUCCUUCCAAAUUCUUUCUGGGGUUUGAGUGAAAUCGUCAAAAUUUCAUGCUUUUGUUGACAUUUGUUAAAGCUUUCUUGACAGUUUUUGUGUACAAUGUUCCAGGUUUCUUGAUAAAUUGGCAUCGACUUUUUGAUUAAUGUAGACUAAUUGAACAUUAAUCCAGCUUCAAAUCUUGAUCUUGGCAGGCAAUUGGAAAUAAAGAGUUUUGUAGUAAAAAAUAAGCUGAGGGAAAAAGGAAAACCGAAGCAUGUGAAACAAAUGAAACCAAGAAGGCGAAAGUAUCCGAGCAUGAGGAGAUCGGAGUUUGUACGGUUCCCGAAAGCAGCAAAGACCAACAUUCAAACACAAAUGGAAGACAAAAAUCUAAAAGUCAAUCUAAUUAGUGUCAUGAUGGUUUGCGGUUGCAUAAACAGAUUGUGCCAAAAUGUCAAUAGAUCAUCAUCGCUCAUUGCUAAUAUACUUGGUAUCAAAAGGCGCUAAGCGAAAGCAAAAAUUGAUAACAUUUUCUCCAGUUUCUUACGAUUUCAGUUGGAGUUGUGUAUGCAGACACUAGCACAAAGAAACUCCAUAGCUAAAGAUCGUGUCCGAGCAUUGACAAUGACCGCAAGACAAACAAUGGUUGAGAUAUGGCGCCCGGUGCAAGACGUUGCUGAUUCAUGUACAGCCGGAGCUGCAACAAAUGUUAUUUUCGGGCUUGCAUAGGGAUACAAAUCUGUUAUUAUUCCAAUUUUUGCAAUAGCUAUUAGCAUUUUUGUGAGCAUUAGCCUUGCACCCAUGUACGGGAUUGCGGUUGCUGCUCUUGGAAUGCCGAGCACCAUUGCCACCGGUCUAGCUAUCCAUGCUUACGGUCCGAUCAGUGACAAUGCUGGCGGCAUUGCUGAGUUGGCGGGCAUGAGCCAUCGCAUCCAUGAGCGGACCGAUGCACUUGAUGCUGUUGGAAACACAACUGCUGCUAUCGGAAAGGUUGCCCUUGUGCCUGGAGAUGCAUUUGGGGAUGACAGCUGCAUCCGGAUCUCAUAUGCGGCAUCCCUCUCCGACUUACAAACCACUGCUGACAGAAUCAAAAAACCUAUCCUCACACCCUCAAGGCUCCUUCAAAUAUCUGAUUGUUAUUUUGCAUACUGCAAGACAUAUUAAUAGUGUGUUUUCCUCAUUUGUAAUUUAUAAUGUUAUAUAAUUGCUAUAAUAUAACUGGUGGUUUCAAUUUAUAAUGUCAAUGUCACUCGUGACAUUUUUUUA
Helianthus annuus (common sunflower) is the source of this 1785-nucleotide RNA transcript. RefSeq lists it as uncharacterized. Lineage: Eukaryota; Viridiplantae; Streptophyta; Magnoliopsida; Asterales; Asteraceae. The record is from RefSeq and is a predicted model, not a curated record. The transcript is spliced from 6 exons.